RNAcentral lists this ribosomal RNA (505 nucleotides) under uncultured bacterium. Its description in RNAcentral is "partial 16S ribosomal RNA". It matches the Rfam family "Bacterial small subunit ribosomal RNA", at positions 28 to 507 of the family's 1533-position model. The record is from RNAcentral.
GACGAACGCUGGCGGCGUGCCUAAUACAUGCAAGUAGAACGCACAGUUUAUACCGUAGCUUGCUACACCAUAGACUGUGAGUUGCGAACGGGUGAGUAACGCGUAGGUAACCUGCCUGGUAGCGGGGGAUAACUAUUGGAAACGAUAGCUAAUACCGCAUAAUAUUAAUUAUUGCAUGAUAAUUAAUUGAAAGGUGCAAUUGCACCACUACCAGAUGGACCUGCGUUGUAUUAGCUAGUAGGUGAGGUAACGGCUCACCUAGGCGACGAUACAUAGCCGACCUGGGGGGGGGGUCGGCCACACUGGGACUGGGACACGGCCCAGACUCCUACGGGAGGCAGCAGUAGGGGAUCUUCGGCAAUGGGCGAAAGUCUGACCGAGCAACGCCGCGGGAGUGAAGAAGGUUUUCGGAUCGUAAAGCUCUGUUGUAAGGGAAGAACGGGUGUGAGAGUGGAAAGUUCACACUGUGACGGUAUCUUACCAGAAAGGGACGGCUAACUACGUG